AUAGACCAUUAAUGUUACCAAAUUAUUAAUAGAAUUUUUAAUUAAAUAGCUUAUAACCCGAAUCUUAGGAGCCUGGUUGUGGGGAUGUGCUUGUGGGAGCUUCACCAAUGUGGGAUCGACGUUCUUCUGGUAAGCAACAAGACUCUUCACAUUUGUAAUAUACAGGCACAUGAAGAGCUUCCCACGUUCUAUCGUUCUUGGCAUUUUUCAAGCAUUUAUCAAUACAUUCGUGGCAUUUUUGCGACGCAGAAUUGACAAAAUCAACUGCCCCAUAUAGAGCCAGGUAAAGCACAAACGCUGCAAUGAUCAUUUUCUGGUGAGAGAUCCUCAUUGUAGAAAGUUGACAACAAAAUAUGUGUGUAGUAUCUCUAUCUUAUAUUCAUAUAUUUUUAAAUAUUAAAUUUAUCUGUUUACCAGCAAUGUCAUUUUAUGCAUGCCCAAGAAAUU
This 447-nucleotide long non-coding RNA is filed under the name Daucus carota (carrot). RNAcentral describes it as "long non-coding RNA (DCAR_LNC002098)". Lineage: Eukaryota; Viridiplantae; Streptophyta; Magnoliopsida; Apiales; Apiaceae. The record is from RNAcentral.